GGUGGGUGAGGAGAGUAUCCUAAGGCCAGCGAGAGAACUGUUGUUAAGGAACUCGGCAAAAUGACCCCGUAACUUAGGGAUAAGGGGUGCCACCAUCAGGUGGCCGCAGAGAAUAGGCCCAAGCGACUGUUUACCAAAAACAUAGGUUUCUGCUAAGUCGCAAGACGAUGUAUAGGAGCUGACGCCUGCCCGGUGCUGGAAGGUUAAGGGGAUCUGUUAGAGUAAUCGAAGCAGUGAACUUAAGCCCCAGUAAACGGCGGCCGUAACUAUAACGGUCCUAAGGUAGCGAAAUUCCUUGUCGGGUAAGUUCCGACCCGCACGAAAGGCGUAACGAUUUGGGCACUGUCUCAACAACAGACUCGGUGAAAUUGUAAUUCCGGUGAAGAUGCCGGAUACCUGCGACAGGACGGAAAGACCCCAUGGAGCUUUACUGUAGCUUGACAUUGGGUCUUGGUACUACAUGUACAGGAUAGGUGGGAGGCUUUGAAACCAGGACGCCAGUUUUGGCGGAGCCAUCCUUGGGAUACCACCCUUGUAGUACUGGGACUCUAACCAUAGGCCAUGAAUCUGGUCUUGGGACACUGUCAGGUGGGCAGUUUGACUGGGGCGGUCGCCUCCCAAAAGGUAACGGAGGCGCUCAAAGGUUCUCUCAGUACGGUCGGAAAUCGUACGUAGAGUGUAAAGGCAAAAGAGAGCUUGAUUGCAAGACAUACAGGUCGAGCAAGGAUGAAAAUCGGACUUAGUGAUCCGGUGGUUCUGCGUGGAAGGGCCAUCGCUCAACGGAUAAAAG
RNAcentral lists this ribosomal RNA (790 nucleotides) under Clostridioides difficile. RNAcentral's name for it is "bacterial LSU rRNA". It matches the Rfam family "Bacterial large subunit ribosomal RNA", at positions 1662 to 2462 of the family's 2925-position model. The record is from RNAcentral. Lineage: Bacteria; Bacillati; Bacillota; Clostridia; Peptostreptococcales; Peptostreptococcaceae.